Molecule: ribosomal RNA, 301 nt
Filed under: uncultured bacterium
Lineage: Bacteria
Description: partial 16S ribosomal RNA
Rfam family: Bacterial small subunit ribosomal RNA
Source: RNAcentral
CAGCAGCCGCGGUAAUACGAGGGGGGCAAGCGUUGUUCGGAAUUAUUGGGCGUAAAGGGUGCGUAGGCGGUUUCGUAAGUCUGAUGUGAAAUCUAUGGGCUCAACCCAUAGUCUGCAUCGGAAACUGCGAGGCUUGAGAGUGGGAGAGGUGAGUGGAAUUUCCGGUGUAGCGGUGAAAUGCGUAGAUAUCGGAAGGAACACCUGUGGCGAAAGCGGCUCACUGGACCAUUUCUGACGCUGAUGCACGAAAGCUAGGGGAGCAAACAGGAUUAGAUACCCGCGUAGUCCCUGUCUCUUAUAC